Molecule: ribosomal RNA, 252 nt
Filed under: uncultured bacterium
Lineage: Bacteria
Description: partial 16S ribosomal RNA
Rfam family: Bacterial small subunit ribosomal RNA
Source: RNAcentral
UACGUAGGUCCCGAGCGUUGUCCGGAUUUAUUGGGCGUAAAGCGAGCGCAGGUGGUUUAUUAAGUCUGGUGUAAAAGGCAGUGGCUCAACCAUUGUAUGCAUUGGAAACUGGUAGGCUUGAGUGCAGAAGAGGAGAGUGGAAUUCCAUGUGUAGCGGUGAAAUGCGUAGAUAUAUGGAGGAACACCGGUGGCGAAAGCGGCUCUCUGGCCUGUAACUGACACUGAGGCUCGAAAGCGUGGGGAGCAAACAGG